CAAUUUGAUGAUGGAAUAUUUCUAAAUUCCAUCAGCUAUUCCUCUUCUUCCCUCCUUCACUUUGACCCAGAAUUAGGUAGUGGUGGCUUAGCUUAUUCUGGGCUUCUCUUUUUAAAAGGAGAAGCUGCAUCAAACAAAUUUUUAAAAAGGAGCUUUUAGAAAUGUAGCUUUUUUUUUAAAUGAAGAAAACUGAAAAAACAGGAUUCUUCAAUGAAGCUAGUUUUAAGAGCUUUUGGCUUCUACUUCUCCUUCCAAAUCCCAAGAUCCAAAGACACUCUCAAGAAAUUUUAACUAAAAUUGUGGAAUUACUAAAUGGAUUUAACUUUAAUUUCAAAAUUUAUCUUUAAAGUAGCUUUAAAGUUAAAAAAACUCAAGCUAAAUGCUCUCUUAAUCUAUUUUAGAAUUACAGGGCUUGACUAAGCAAAAAGGAAGAUACAGAAAAGGAAUGCUCAAUACAAGCUUAUAUUGAUAUGUUGUGUGAUAAUAUCAUACAUGAUACUUCCACAAAGAUCCUAUCUCUGCUAAUAAUCUGGUCAAAUGCCUAAUGUAGCAUUACUAAUACAUGUUGAAGCCCACUAAUAUAAUAAAAAUUGUAGCUCUAUUUUGGGUUGAGGCUAAUGAGUUCACCUAUUGCCUUAGCUGAAGUCCUCUCUGUCAACGCAUCUAAAAAAAUUUUGUUCCAUUUUAUCUUAAUUAAUUAUUACUUUUAUCUUUUUCACAUCCUAGUUAAUCUUAAUUUUUCUUAUACACCAAAACACUUUUCUCUGAAAAAAUGAAUCCAAAUACAAUACAAAAGCUCAUAGCUUAUAUACAAAAUGUCUUAAUAUAAUUAAAUUACCUAAGUUUAGAAAUACAAGGUCAUCAAAUAAUUCUAGCUAUGUCAUGUUCCUGUAUAGAGAAAGUACUGAGUAACUUAUUAAAACAUAAAUGUGUGACUAGCAAGCUAACUAGAAAAGAAAAAGAUGAAAGGAAAUUUAAAUCAUAUGAACGAAAAGUAAAUAUAAAUAGCUCAUUGUGGAGUAUAAGUAUUGAUAGACAAAUAUUAAUAUGUGAGUGUGUGUGCAUAUAUAUACAUAUAUAUUUAUAUUACUAAAAUUCACUUGAAUAAUAUAUUAAUUAGGAGAAUGUAAUUUAGAAAAUUAUAAUUAAUAAUUGAGUUGUUAGUGGGGUGGGGAGUGAGAAUAUGCAAUUCGGAGUGUCAAUAGUAUAACUACUGAUAAAAUAAGAAAACUAUUAACAAAUCUAACAACUCAAGAAACAACUUUUAAGAUUGCUUCCUCGAUGAGAUGACUCACUGAUUCCACAGAAAAUUUCAAAGAUAUUGUUUGUAUAGUCUAACACUCCCUCAAGAUAUAGUUUACCAAGCUUUAAGCUUAUUAAAAAUGAAAAUUUCAAAAAGAAAAUGACAUAAAUAUAAAGUGGGCUCCAAAAAACUUUGUUGAAAAGGUAACUCAUGCUCGAGACAUAAGCAUCGCUGGAAAGAUAACUCUGUAGAAUAACUAUGGUUCAUCAGUUGCAUAGGAAAAUCACCAUCUGUGUGAUCCACAUCCCACAAUAAUAAGAAAAGUCACCAGAGUGUCGGUAAGUAGAAAAGCCACCACUGGAAAGAUUGUUGGUAGGAAGAGAUGUCGCCAAAUCUGAGGUAUUGAGAGGAAAGAGAAUGCCAGAAUUGAGACAUGACAAAACUUUGCUCCCAGCUACGGCUGUAGUUAGGGUUUGUCAAACAGGGCAAAGACACUUUGGGAAAAUAAAAUUGGUUGCCAGAAAGAGGUGAAACAAUAGUGGGUGGAAGGAUAAACAUGACUAAGAGAAUCAUACUUUGUAGGAAUAAAGACAUUUGGAGUUUCAGAUGUUAGGAAACUCAGCAGGCAACUAGUGUCAUAACCAUAUCAUGCUGGAUGGUACUACUUAGAUAUCAUGUUAAAAUUAUAGGGCUUUUAUAGUUAAUAAGGAGAGAAAAAAGGUUAAAGAGAUAUUAGAGCCUCUGAAUAAUAAUAUAACAUGAUAGCUAGAUGGAUAUUUUGUAGAUAAUCUAAAAAUAUUUUAAAUAUAUUCUUACAAUCUACAUGUUUCUAUUGUAGGUUGGCUAUGUGACAACCAUAUGUUUUUUAUGUUUUCUUGUCAGAUGCAUUAUGGUGAGCCCCUUUUUAUUUUUAAUUCUUAGUGAUUCCUGUUUGCUUGAUUUCAAAAUUGAGUUUGAUUGUAUGUUGUUGUAUCAGAUGUGUUUUAAUGCAUUUGAUAAAAAUGCGGACCUUGAUGUCUUGGAUCAUCCUAUUCUAAACUUCAUAUAUUACCUGGUAAGGUGUUUGUGUUCCUUACUUCCUUUAUUUUGGUACUUAUACUACCAUACUACUUACUGUUUCUUUUUAAUUAUUGGUAAGGCAGAAGACCUCCAUUUGCAUAUAGGAGGGAAAUUAGGGAAAUCUAGGUGGGAAAUUGGGUAAAUGGUGUGUGGGGUGAUUGAAACGCCAACUUUGAAUACCAAAGCCCCCCUUGACUAACAGAGAUGCCACUAGGCUCUGAGGCCAUUGGCUCCUCACUGUUUCUAAUUAUUAUGCCAAUGCUAUACUAGUAAUCAUUUCUAUAUUUGGGUCUGUUUUAUACUCGUCUGGUUACUUUUUCUUUAAGCUGAGUGAGGUGAGGAAAGCUCUGACAUAUCCUCUGCCUAUAUAUUUUUUUUUCUAACCUGAACUGUUAGAACCUUUUUUUACUUAAAUUCAACUUUUCUUUCUGGUGUUUGACAUUACUGUUAACCUUUAGUUCCGAUAAGAUUUUUUUUACCUGCAACCUAAAUGGCAAUUGAGCUACAUCGGAUAACAAAUCAUCCGUUUCAAAAUCCACCAAUUCAUAGUGAGGAUAUCUCUUGAACAAAUUUUCAACCACAGAAAUGUUGUUUCUCAAAAUAUGGAAAUUGAUACCCUGAUAUUGAUAUUCUGAUUUCCAUUUGGAAGGGUAUUGGAUUGCUAUUGUGAGGUAUCAAUAAUUGUCUUUAUUUUACCAUGCUUUUUGAAAUGCUUUACUCUAUAAUACUUUAAAGAGGAAUAACACUUGUACAACAAAUUAUUCAAGUUGUACAACCAAGAGAUAGAAAGAGAGAAAAGAGAGAAGUCUGAAAUGUAAUAAAUAAUGGGGAGGCGAGAGAUAGACACUAAGAAAGGAUGUCGUAUAAAUUGUUCUAUGAACUUCCAUCUCAACUUUAAAAUGAUAAAACCUCCAUCUCAAGGAUAAGCACUUAAGAAAGGUGUUUGUAUGUCUUCUACUUUGUAGAAAGUGUCUCUCCCACUAAUCCUCUUACUGGUUUUCCCAUUCUUGCUGCAGGUGGUGGAAAUAUUGCCUUCUUCUUUGGUCCUUUUCAUUUUGAGGAAGCUUCCACCUAAGCGUGGUAUCACACAAUAUCACCCAAUUCGCUGAAAAGGGGAUUUCUCAAUCGUUCUCUAUUUUCUUGAAUGAUUAUCAUUCUCCAUGGGUAAUUUUCUAGAGUAGACACAAGUCAGUCUUCUAUGUUCGGUGGCAAAGCUUGUAUGCUUUGUCUCUUGGACAGUAUGGUAAGUUUUGUGACCCAGCAUUUCUGACACGAUGAUAAUUGGUAAAAGGGGAUAUAGUGAUAUCUUGUAUAAAUAGUGUUUUGAACUGCUACGAGUGCAAAAAAUGUAUUGUCCCUAAUUUCUCACUCGUAUUAACUUACUACAUUAAUUUCUGCUCUAUAUCCCUAAUUUCAAUCGUUUAGUGGAGCUUUAGUUUUUGUUUUUGCAGAUUUGAUUCUUAAGUUGUUUGAUCUUUAAAUUCAUUGGGAAUCGGAGUCUUACUAGAUGAAAUGUUUCCCCUUGAAAGUACCAUGUCUGAAUACUAAGUACUGUCAUGAUUACUAAGAUACAACCAAAAGAAAGUUAAAGGAAAAAAGAAAAACAAGCAUUUUCAGUACGUGUUUUCUAUAUAAUGACAUUUUGAAGAACAAAUAAUGCAUACCUGGGUCUGAUUUGCUUAGAUUUGAUGAAGUGAUUAAUUGAAACCCUGAUGCUCUGCUUGGUUGUGGGAUCCUAAGAGAUAAU
RNAcentral lists this long non-coding RNA (4049 nucleotides) under Glycine max (soybean). RNAcentral describes it as "long non-coding RNA (GMAX_LNC001544)". Lineage: Eukaryota; Viridiplantae; Streptophyta; Magnoliopsida; Fabales; Fabaceae. The record is from RNAcentral.